RNAcentral lists this ribosomal RNA (245 nucleotides) under uncultured bacterium. RNAcentral describes it as "partial 16S ribosomal RNA". It matches the Rfam family "Archaeal small subunit ribosomal RNA", at positions 474 to 719 of the family's 1478-position model. The record is from RNAcentral.
UACCAGCACCCCGAGUGGUCGGGACGAUUAUUGGGCCUAAAGCAUCCGUAGCCGGUCAUGCAAGUCCUCCGUUAAAUCCACCUGCUUAACAGAUGGGCUGCGGAGGAUACUACAAGGCUAGGAGGCGGAAGAGGCAAGCGGUACUCAGUGGGUAGGGGUAAAAUCCUCUGAUCCAUUGAAGACCACCAGUGGCGAAGGCGGCUUGCCAAUACGCGCUCGACGGUGAGGGAUGAAAGCUGGGGGAG